Oryza glumipatula is the source of this 84-nucleotide non-coding RNA. Lineage: Eukaryota; Viridiplantae; Streptophyta; Magnoliopsida; Poales; Poaceae. The record is from Rfam.
AGGCCGAUGAUGCUAAUCAUGCUCCUAUGGUCUUGACCAAGAAGCUGAGGAUUCUCUAAGAAUGUUUCCCAAGAGCUGAGGCCC